Molecule: ribosomal RNA, 253 nt
Filed under: uncultured bacterium
Lineage: Bacteria
Description: partial 16S ribosomal RNA
Rfam family: Bacterial small subunit ribosomal RNA
Source: RNAcentral
UACAGAGGGUGCAAGCGUUAAUCGGAAUUACUGGGCGUAAAGCGUGCGUAGGUGGAUAAGUGUGUUGGCUGUGAAAGCCCCGAGCUCAACUUGGGAGAGUCAGCCAAAACUGCUUGUCUAGAGUAUGGUAGAGGAAAGUGGAAUUUCUGGUGUAGCGGUGAAAUGCGUAGAUAUCAGAAGGAACAUCAGUGGCGAAGGCGACUUUCUGGACCAAUACUGACACUGAGGCACGAAAGCGUGGGGAGCAAACAGG